CAGCAGCCGCGGUAAUACGAAGGGGGCUAGCGUUGCUCGGAAUCACUGGGCGUAAAGGGUGCGUAGGCGGGUCUUUAAGUCAGGGGUGAAAUCCUGGAGCUCAACCUUGGAACUGCCUUUGAUACUGUUUGUCUUGAGUUCGAGAGAGGUAAGUGGAACUGCGAGUGUAGAGGUGAAAUUCGUAGAUAUUAGGAAGAACACCAGUGGCGAAGGCGGCUUUCUGGACGAAAACUGACGCUGAGGCGCGAAAGCCAAGGGAGCGAACGGGAUUAGAUACCCCCGUAGUCCCUGUCUCUUAUAC
This 301-nucleotide ribosomal RNA is filed under the name uncultured bacterium. RNAcentral's name for it is "partial 16S ribosomal RNA". It matches the Rfam family "Bacterial small subunit ribosomal RNA", at positions 509 to 807 of the family's 1533-position model. The record is from RNAcentral.